Molecule: ribosomal RNA, 716 nt
Filed under: Staphylococcus haemolyticus
Lineage: Bacteria; Bacillati; Bacillota; Bacilli; Caryophanales; Staphylococcaceae
Description: bacterial SSU rRNA
Rfam family: Bacterial small subunit ribosomal RNA
Source: RNAcentral
UCCUUUGACGUUAGCGGCGGAGGGAGAGUAACACGUGGGUAACCUACCUAUAAGACUGGGAUAACUUCGGGAAACCGGAGCUAAUACCGGAUAAUAUUUCGAACCGCAUGGUUCGAUAGUGAAAGAUGGUUUUGCUAUCACUUAUAGAUGGACCCGCGCCGUAUUAGCUAGUUGGUAAGGUAACGGCUUACCAAGGCGACGAUACGUAGCCGACCUGAGAGGGUGAUCGGCCACACUGGAACUGAGACACGGUCCAGACUCCUACGGGAGGCAGCAGUAGGGAAUCUUCCGCAAUGGGCGAAAGCCUGACGGAGCAACGCCGCGUGAGUGAUGAAGGUCUUCGGAUCGUAAAACUCUGUUAUUAGGGAAGAACAUACGUGUAAGUAACUGUGCACGUCUUGACGGUACCUAAUCAGAAAGCCACGGCUAACUACGUGCCAGCAGCCGCGGUAAUACGUAGGUGGCAAGCGUUAUCCGGAAUUAUUGGGCGUAAAGCGCGCGUAGGCGGUUUUUUAAGUCUGAUGUGAAAGCCCACGGCUCAACCGUGGAGGGUCAUUGGAAACUGGAAAACUUGAGUGCAGAAGAGGAAAGUGGGAAUUCCAUGUGUAGCGGUGAAAUGCGCAGAGAUAUGGAGGAACACCAGUGGCGAAAGGCGACUUUCUGGUCUGUUAACCUGACGCUGAUGUGCGAAAGCGGUGGGGAUCAAACAGGGAUUA